This 301-nucleotide ribosomal RNA is filed under the name uncultured bacterium. RNAcentral's name for it is "partial 16S ribosomal RNA". It matches the Rfam family "Bacterial small subunit ribosomal RNA", at positions 509 to 807 of the family's 1533-position model. The record is from RNAcentral.
CAGCCGCCGCGGUAACACGGAGGGAGCUAGCGUUGUUCGGAAUUACUGGGCGUAAAGCGCACGUAGGCGGUUAUUCAAGUCAGAGGUGAAAGCCCGGGGCUCAACCCCGGAACUGCCUUUGAAACUAGAUGACUAGAAUCUUGGAGAGGUCAGUGGAAUUCCGAGUGUAGAGGUGAAAUUCGUAGAUAUUCGGAAGAACACCAGUGGCGAAAGCGACUAACUGGACAAGUAUUGACGCUGAGGUGCGAAAGCGUGGGGAGCAAACAGGAUUAGAUACCCCUGUAGUCCCUGUCUCUUAUAC